Long non-coding RNA from Myodes glareolus (Bank vole), 1880 nucleotides. RefSeq lists it as uncharacterized. The record is from RefSeq and is a predicted model, not a curated record. NCBI's taxonomy places the organism in Eukaryota, Metazoa, Chordata, Mammalia, Rodentia, Cricetidae.
GCCGUGGGUCUCCUGCCCCCUCGCGGCGGCGUGGAGCGCGGCGGGAGAGACUGUGACGGUGCAAGGCGGGCUUGAGGGGGUAGUGCACCGUAUAAGGGCAAGAAUCGCGCAGGUUUGGAGAGAGAAUAGAGUCAUGUCCCAGAGACAGUGGGUAGGCCGAUGCCUGUUCAGUUUUUCGGAGACUUUGGUCUCAGCAAAAACAUACUCUUCACGUUAAAUGAGAGUUAACUGAGAAACUGUUGAUGAUCUUUUGGGUAGAGAUUGGGUCCGGCUUUGAACUCAUGAAGACUCCUCCUGUACUGGGAUUCCAAAAUCUUCUUGCGGUCCUUGUCCAGCUUUAUCCUGGUGAUAACCACCUUGCUGGGGUGGAUGACCACGUAGACAGUUUGCCAUUAGCCUUUUCUCGCUGCACCCGUUCAGUGUAGCUGACAUAUUGCUUCCCGUACACUUGAACCACUGCCAAUCUGCUGGCCUUUGUACUGCCCUCAGACAGCCUGAGCUUCACCAUCCUUUCGAAUGGGCACAGAUCGAACACUGCACUUCUGUCUCAGCUCUUUGGAAAGGGGGAGAGACACGAUCUUCCUCCGAACGUGAGAAGGUGUACCGAAACGCCGUUUACCGUACUUGCUUCAGUCAGAAGUCACAACGGGAUCGAACUUCAUUUUGGCGGCUGCAAUCCAGCGAUGGCUGCAAAAGGAAAGAGGAGGAAGAAAAUAAAGCUUUUUUGUUUUCUUGAGAUGACUGCACGUACAGCUGAAGUGCCAGUCCCGAUGACAUUGUAGCUGCUAAGCCCCUGCAGGCAGAAGAGUCGGAAUGAGAGUCUGUGUUCCUGACUCCCCCAUCAUGCUGCAGGUGGAGAUGGGAAGGAAGAUCAUUGUAGUGACUGAAGAAUCCAAGGAUAAGAAUAUAGAAAUGCAGAUUCCAGAAUUAAGAGUUUAAAGAUAAAUAAAUAUAAAGCAAGCCUAGGAAAAUGAGAGCAGGCUGCCAACAACUUAAGGAUUAACUAUUAACAGUGGGUUACUCUGCUUUACAAUCCACAGCUCUGUCUGCAAGGCUGAUGGGGCCCUCUGUAAACUGAGUCCCUCUGCAAACGGCGGGUCAGCUUUUAGAGAACCCCCUGGCCACUCAUGACCAGCAACUGAUGUGAGCUGAGUUAACUUUUCAAUGAUGGGAUGUUCCUGACUUUUUGGUCAUGCAUUGUCCCAUACCCUACCCUGCCACACAAAGUCGGCAGUAUCAGGGGAGUGUAGAGAUUUGGUGAACUCCAUCAGAAAGUGCCGGAGAGAAAUAAUGAACUAAAUACAAUCACGAGUUUAACUAAAAAUCCCUGUUAAUGGAAGUUAUUAAAAAAAGCAUUUGUAUCUGAGUUUUACCUUGAGAUUGUAAAAAUUCUUUUGUUCAUGCCUAAUGCUUACUUCUUGCUAUAAACAGCCCAUGGUCACAACCGCACAAGUCCAUCUCUGGCUGUGGUCACAGCUAGCUGAUAAGCUUUUUGUGCUCCAUGGAGAUUUUAUUUUUGUGUCCCAUGGAGAUUUUAGUUUUUUCUUUUUCCUGGAAUAAAGUUUGCUCCUGGUUUAUAAGACUUUGGUGGUCUGUCCCCCAUCUUUGCGGGACCCUCGUGGGCCCAACAUUGAUAACUGGUGAUUCUUAGUCUCUUGAUGGAUUUGCUGUGCAAACUUUCAGAUAUAGUGUGUCCUGUUUACCUUGGAGCCAAUCCCCAAAACCCUGACUGAACAUUUGACAGUUUUAUACCCUGGUCUUCAGAACUCAUUUUGCCAGUAUGACAAUCAAUCUUCUGUUGAAAUAAGGGAACUACGGGCCGGGCAGUGGUGGCACACUCCUUUAAUCCCAGCACUCGAGAGGCAGAGACAGGCAGAUCU